AGAUUGCUGGCGACCGGCGCACGGGUGAGUAACACGUAUCCAACCUCCCUAUAACUCGGGGAUAGCCUUUCGAAAGAAAGAUUAAUACCCUAUGGCAUAAUUAGACCGCAUGGUCUUAUUAUUAAAGAAUUUCGGUUAUCGAUGGGGAUGCGUUCCAUUAGGCAGUUGGUGAGGUAACGGCUCACCAAACCUUCGAUGGAUAGGGGUUCUGAGAGGAAGGUCCCCCACAUUGGAACUGAGACACGGUCCAAACUCCUACGGGAGGCAGCAGUGAGGAAUAUUGGUCAAUGGGCGCGAGCCUGAACCAGCCAAGUAGCGUGAAGGAUGACUGCCCUAUGGGUUGUAAACUUCUUUUAUAUGGGAAUAAAGUUUUCCACGUGUGGAAUUUUGUAUGUACCAUAUGAAUAAGGAUCGGCUAACUCCGUGCCAGCAGCCGCGGUAAUACGGAGGAUCCGAGCGUUAUCCGGAUUUAUUGGGUUUAAAGGGAGCGUAGGUGGAUAGUUAAGUCAGUUGUGAAAGUUUGCGGCUCAACCGUAAAAUUGCAGUUGAUACUGGCUGUCUUGAGUACAGUAGAGGUGGGCGGAAUUCGUGGUGUAGCGGUGAAAUGCUUAGAUAUCACGAAGAACUCCGAUUG
RNAcentral lists this ribosomal RNA (634 nucleotides) under uncultured Bacteroides sp. RNAcentral describes it as "bacterial SSU rRNA". It matches the Rfam family "Bacterial small subunit ribosomal RNA", at positions 82 to 715 of the family's 1533-position model. Lineage: Bacteria; Pseudomonadati; Bacteroidota; Bacteroidia; Bacteroidales; Bacteroidaceae. The record is from RNAcentral.